Molecule: ribosomal RNA, 411 nt
Filed under: Rhizobiaceae bacterium Ellin7208
Lineage: Bacteria; Pseudomonadati; Pseudomonadota; Alphaproteobacteria; Hyphomicrobiales; Rhizobiaceae
Description: bacterial SSU rRNA
Rfam family: Bacterial small subunit ribosomal RNA
Source: RNAcentral
AACGAACGCUGGCGGCAGGCUUAACACAUGCAAGUCGAACGCCCCGCAAGGGGAGUGGCAGACGGGUGAGUAACGCGUGGGAACAUACCCUUUCCUGCGGAAUAGCUCCGGGAAACUGGAAUUAAUACCGCAUACGCCCUACGGGGGAAAGAUUUAUCGGGGAAGGAUUGGCCCGCGUUGGAUUAGCUAGUUGGUGGGGUAAAGGCCUACCAAGGCGACGAUCCAUAGCUGGUCUGAGAGGAUGAUCAGCCACAUUGGGACUGAGACACGGCCCAAACUCCUACGGGAGGCAGCAGUGGGGAAUAUUGGACAAUGGGCGCAAGCCUGAUCCAGCCAUGCCGCGUGAGUGAUGAAGGCCUUAGGGUUGUAAAGCUCUUUCACCGAUGAAGAUAAUGACGGUAGUCGGAGAAG